GAUGAACGCUGGCGGCGUGCCUAAUACAUGCAAGUCGAGCGAACAGACGAGGAGCUUGCUCCUCUGACGUUAGCGGCGGACGGGUGAGUAACACGUGGAUAACCUACCUAUAAGACUGGGAUAACUUCGGGAAACCGGAGCUAAUACCGGAUAAUAUAUUGAACCGCAUGGUUCAAUAGUGAAAGACGGUUUUGCUGUCACUUAUAGAUGGAUCCGCGCCGCAUUAGCUAGUUGGUAAGGUAACGGCUUACCAAGGCAACGAUGCGUAGCCGACCUGAGAGGGUGAUCGGCCACACUGGAACUGAGACACGGUCCAGACUCCUACGGGAGGCAGCAGUAGGGAAUCUUCCGCAAUGGGCGAAAGCCUGACGGAGCAACGCCGCGUGAGUGAUGAAGGUCUUCGGAUCGUAAAACUCUGUUAUUAGGAAAGAACAAAUGUGUAAGUAACUAUGCACGUCUUGACGGUACCUAAUCAGAAAGCCACGGCUAACUACGU
Molecule: ribosomal RNA, 496 nt
Filed under: uncultured bacterium
Lineage: Bacteria
Description: partial 16S ribosomal RNA
Rfam family: Bacterial small subunit ribosomal RNA
Source: RNAcentral